CCCUUAGAUGUCCUGGGCCGCACGCGCGCUACACUGACAUGUUCAACAAGCCUCCUAGUUCGACAGGAUUUGGGAAAUCUUUGAACGCAUGUCGUGAUAGGGAUAGAUCAUUGCAAUUAUUGAUCUUGAACGAGGAAUUCCUAGUAAGUGCGAAUCAUCAGUUCGCGCUGAUUACGUCCCUGCCCUUUGUACACACCGCCCGUCGCUCCUACCGAUUGAGUGGUCCGGUGAAUAAUUCGGACUGAGGAUUUAGGCAGUUUCUGUCUUUAUCUUCGGGAAGUCUAGUGAACCUUAUCACUUAGAGGAAGGAGAAGUCGUAACA
RNAcentral lists this ribosomal RNA (322 nucleotides) under uncultured eukaryote. RNAcentral describes it as "partial 18S ribosomal RNA". It matches the Rfam family "Eukaryotic small subunit ribosomal RNA", at positions 1470 to 1796 of the family's 1831-position model. The record is from RNAcentral.